AUGACUUGCUCGCCUACCAGGCGAGUGGGACCACCUCUGAGCCCAGACGACCCAGGUAUCCCUAUUCAUCCUCUAGCAGUAGCUCUGAGGCUGCCUCCUCUUCCAGCUCUGCCGCCGCCCAUGUGGAGUCAGGGCUCUCCUCCAACUCCUCUGUAUGGCCGCUUCUUAGUCAACAGCAAUGCCCACCACAGCCCCUUCCCGCCUCCUGCCAGGAGCCAGGCCAGUGCCCACCUGCCAGUCCCAACACACCAGGCAGCAGCAGCAUCACGGGACCUCUGGGGCCCCUCCCGGAGCGUUUCUCCACCCUUUGGAGAGCAGUGGCUCUCACCACGCGCACCCCUAUGCCAUGUCACCCUCCUUGGUGUCUCUGAGGCCCUACCCUCCCAGGCCAGCACACCUGCCACGGCCGCAUGGCCAGGUGUCCUACAGCCAGGCUGGCCCCGGCGGCCCUUUGGCCUCGUCCUCUUCCGACUCCCCCUCCUCCUCUCAAGGGUCCUACCCCUGCUCGCAACCCUCCCCCUCCCAGUGUACCCAAGGGGCGCCCUACCCCUUCCCACCAGUGCCCACGGUCACCACCUCCUCGGCCACCUUCUCCAGGGUCAUCGCCACCAUGGCUUCCUCGUCAGCAGGGUACAAGAUGGCCUCGCCGCCUGGGACCCCGCCAUACACGAAGCGAGCCACGUCCCCGGAGGCCUACAAGACGGCCACCCCGCCUGUGUACAAGCCGGGCUUUCUCCCGGCCUUCCGAACGGGGACACCGCCGGGCUACCGAGGCGCCUCGCUGCCCGCGGGCCCAGGGACCUUCAAGCCGGGCUCGCCCGCCGCGGGCGCGGGGCCACUGCCACCAGCGGGGCGCCCAGGGCCUGCCAUCUCUGCCGCUGUCGCCGCCCGCCGACCCCGAGGGCCCGGCCCUGGGCGCCGCGCAGAUCAAGCAGGAGCAGGCCGAGGAGUACGAGGCACCCGAGAUCCCGGCGCCCCCGGCGCCCCAGCACGCAGCCCCUCGCCCCGGCCCUAGGUGGUGGACGUGCCCAGCCACGCCAGCCAGUCGGCCAGGUUGAACAAGCCCCUAGACCGCGGCUUCAACUCCUGCGCGCGCAGCGACUUAUACUUCUUGCCGCUGGAGGGCUCCAAGCUGGCCAAGAAGCUCGCCGACCUGCUGGAGAAGGUGCAGUGCGAGGCCGAGCGGUGCGCGCGCGAGGAGAAGGAGCGCGAGCGGGAGCGGGAGAAGGAGCGCGAGCUGGAGCGCAGCGAGAAGCCGGCUCAGGAGGGCCGCGCUCCCGUGCAGUGUCCGUCCCUGGGCCCCGUGCCCCACCGCCCUCCGUUCGUGCCGGGCAGUGCGGUGGCUACGGUUCACCUCUACCUGGGGCCUGACACCCCGGCCUUGCUCACCCUCAGCGAGUACGCCCGGCCUCAAGUCAUGUCUCCCGGUAACCGCAACCACCCCGUCUACGCGCCCCUGGGCGCGGUGGACCCGGGGCUCCUGGACGACAACGUCCCGGCCCUGUACAGCAGCGACCUGGCUGCCCGGGAGCGAGACCGCCGCAACCGCCUCAAGCCGAGCUUCGAGGUGAAGCCUAGCGAGCUGGAGCCCCUGCACGGGGUCCCGGGCCGGGCCUGGAUCCCUUCCCGCGACACGGGUGCCUGGCCCGCCUGGCCUGCACCCUUUCCCCUUCGCCUGGAGCGAGAACGGCUACCUCUGGCGUCCGGGCCCGCCCUGCGUCCGGACGUGUCCUACGCGGAGCGGCUGGCGGCCCAGAGGCAGCACGCGGAAAGGGUGGCAGCCCUGGGCCACGACCCGCCGGCGCGGCUGCAGAUGCUCAACGUGAAUCCCCGCCGCCACCCGCACUCGCACAUCCACUCGCACCUGCACCUGCACCAGCAGGACGCCGUCCAUGCAGCCUCUGCCUCGGUGCACCCUCUCAUUGGACCCCUGGCCUCAGGGUCUCACCUUACUCGGAUCCCCUGCCCAGCUGGGACCCUCCCUAACCCCCUUCUUCCUCACCCUCUGCGCGAGAACGAAGCUCUUCGUCACCAGCUCUUUGCCGCCCCCUACCGGGACCUGCCGGCCUCGCUCUCCGCCCCGACGUCCGCGGCGCACCAGCUGCAGGCCACGCACGCGCCGUCCGCCAAGCUGCAGCGCCUGUCGCUGGAGUAGCCGCAGUGACCGCACGCCCACCGCCCGCUGCACAGCGUGCUGCUGCCUGCCCAGGAGGACUACUACGGUCACCUGAAGAAGGAGAGCGACAAGCCGCUGUAG
RNA transcript from Carlito syrichta (Philippine tarsier), 2257 nucleotides. It is a transcript of the gene named atrophin-1-like, with no coding region annotated. The record is from RefSeq and is a predicted model, not a curated record. The transcript has 4 exons. NCBI's taxonomy places the organism in Eukaryota, Metazoa, Chordata, Mammalia, Primates, Tarsiidae.